RNAcentral lists this ribosomal RNA (276 nucleotides) under uncultured Hyphomicrobiales bacterium. Its description in RNAcentral is "uncultured Rhizobiales bacterium partial 16S ribosomal RNA". It matches the Rfam family "Bacterial small subunit ribosomal RNA", at positions 527 to 802 of the family's 1533-position model. Lineage: Bacteria; Pseudomonadati; Pseudomonadota; Alphaproteobacteria; Hyphomicrobiales. The record is from RNAcentral.
GAAGGGGUCUAGCGUUGCUCGGAAUCACUGGGCGUAAAGGGUGCGUAGGCGGGUCUUUAAGUCAGGCGUGAAAUCCUGGAGCUCAACUCCAGAACUGCCUUUGAUACUGAAGAUCUUGAGUUCGGGAGAGGUGAGUGGAACUGCGAGUGUAGAGGUGAAAUUCGUAGAUAUUCGCAAGAACACCAGUGGCGAAGGCGGCUCACUGGCCCGAUACUGACGCUGAGGCACGAAAGCGUGGGGAGCAAACAGGAUUAGAUACCCUGGUAGUCAAGGGCG